CGGUUACUACUCUACCAUUCUCCACCCAGCUAUAAUGAACUACUUCUUUUGCGCUGGUUCCUCUUCUUCAGAUCUCAUGGCCUUUCUUCAUACAACAGAUCUAAGUUCUUCUUCUGGGCUCUGUGGAAUGUGGAAUACUCAGAGACAGGAUCCAUCAGCCUGGUUCCAAGCACCAGUGUCUCCAGAGUCAUCACUGCAGUAACUACGGCGCUCACCACAGUGCUGAGCACGAAGGAGGCCUCCUAAAUCCUGACCUAAAUCCUAAAUCCUGGUUAAUCAGCCCACCUCCCAACGUGUCGCACACAUUGCCUGAGCCACGGGCACCGACUUGCCAGCGCUCUGUACUUUGACGUUCACAUAGUCAUCCUUGGAGCUCACACCAACCCUGGGAGACUCUUGGAACAGGAACGCUUGGCUAUUCCUCCUCACGGAUGAGUUCGUAAAUCCUACUAGUGAUAAGAUUCGAGUAUAAACCUAGGACUUCUGACUCUUUCAUCCAGCCGACCUUCUUGCCCACUCUGUUUUCUUUUAUGAAUCCGUGGUCCCUGCCUUCCGUUCUCCUUCUCACUCACAGCCAUCUAUCAAUGUCUCACAGUUCAGUAAAUUGAUACUCAAACCACAGGUAUCUUCUGAGUGUUGCAGAGAUUGUGCAUGGGAGGUGAUCAGAGAAGUUUGCUUUUCCAUCCCUCCUCUGCAAUCAGGGCCGGCUUCCUAGGCAUGAGACCAGUGCAGUCACACAGCGUCCCACUCUUAGGAGAGAGUCUCACGUGUGCUUGAUUGCUCUGCAGUCACCCUCUUGAAAUUCGUAAUAAUUUUUAAACAAGGGACCACACGUUUUCAUUUUGGACUGAGCCCCACAAAUUAUAUCACCAGUUCUGUGUGCAACAAAGAUACGGUGAGCUUCCAUAUACAUUUGCAAAUUGGAGGGAGAAUAGAAGUCCCUUUUCUUAUUGGCCAAUCAAACCCUGGGCAUUUAUUCUAAGUUAGUAUUGUAUCAGCUUUAGCCUCUAUAAAACCAGGUUGAAAAAAUAAAUAAAUAAAACAAGGUUGAUUUCUCUGAUCA
RNAcentral lists this long non-coding RNA (1063 nucleotides) under Vulpes vulpes (red fox). RNAcentral's name for it is "lncRNA (ENSVVUG00000008042.1)". The record is from RNAcentral. Lineage: Eukaryota; Metazoa; Chordata; Mammalia; Carnivora; Canidae.